GUAAUUUUUUUCAUUAUAUUAGCAGAUUUAUGAAAAUCACAAGGCCAUGAUAAGUCAUCAAAAGGCCUUAUAUAAAAAGAAUUAUACAGAACUAUAUAUCUCAUCUUUCCCGCUUUAUCAAUAACAUCUUUCAAUUUAUGGAGUAGUGUUCAAGUAAUUAAAUAAUAUCAGUAACCAGUGUUCAGUGAGACAUUGAGAUAGGGUGAAAACUGAACUUUAAUGAAAAUUCUCAAAAUUCAGUUUUGAGGCAAAAAUAUGUGAAUCUGUAAAGACAUUUAAGUUUCAAUUAGAUUAAUAUUGCUUUUAUAACACAGUUUAAAGUGAAUCUGAACAUAACUUCACAAAAUUCCCUGUUAGUAUAUAUCUUUAUUUUACCCAAAAAUAGGUGGACCUGGAAAAAAAUCCUCUAAAUGAUGGAUAGGUGCAUGCACAACAGUAUAUAUGAUUGUAUCAGUACCCUCACCAGUUUCAAUUCAAUCUGACAGCAUACAACUCAAUAACACUGUCAAAUGUGGACUUUAAACAAAUAUUGACGCCACUGCUAUUAAAUAUUUGUAGUGAUGGUUGUAAACUCGCUUUUAUUUAAUAAAUUAAUUGAACAAAUUAAAUAAGGCCAAAAAGUGUAAUUUCUGUAUAUGAAUUAAAUAAUUAUUUCUAUAACCCAUCCCUAUAGGGUAACAGAACAGGACACCCUGUGGUAAAAAA
Molecule: long non-coding RNA, 705 nt
Organism: Pecten maximus
Lineage: Eukaryota; Metazoa; Mollusca; Bivalvia; Pectinida; Pectinidae
Exons: 2
Source: RefSeq, a predicted model, not a curated record